AAACGAUAAUACCAAACCAUCCGCGAGGAUGGGACGGAAAGCCUACAGGGUCUCAAGAAGACAGCCGGGUCGCCGAA
This is a regulatory RNA element of 77 nucleotides. It matches the Rfam family "c-di-GMP-I riboswitch aptamer". From Rfam's summary of the family: GEMM was predicted in a large-scale screen for bacterial structured RNA regulatory elements. Genes associated with GEMM are involved in a diverse array of functions, including chemotaxis regulation, signal transduction, secretion and chitin. The record is from Rfam.